Molecule: small RNA, 210 nt
Filed under: Nocardioides soli
Lineage: Bacteria; Bacillati; Actinomycetota; Actinomycetes; Propionibacteriales; Nocardioidaceae
Description: Nocardioides sp. mbc-2 Actinobacteria sRNA Ms_IGR-5
Rfam family: Actinobacteria sRNA Ms_IGR-5
Source: Rfam by way of RNAcentral
ACACGGGAAAGGAGGUGGUCCGAAGAAUGAGUUCUUACAGGACGCGUGAGGUGGCUGCCCGCUAGCAGCCCAUCAGCAUCACCCGGGGUGGAGCCACCCCGGGACGGCUGCUGGUGAAUCCCAAGCAGUCACCCGACCCGCAGGCGCUCCGGUCAUCACGUCCACCGGGAUGGGCCCCCUCAGGGGCCCGACGCCUGCGGGUCGCUGCAU